GCGUGCCUAAUACAUGCAAGUCGAGCGAAGUUUUUCUGGUGCUUGCACUAGAAAAACUUAGCGGCGAACGGGUGAGUAACACGUAAAGAACCUGCCUCAUAGACUGGGACAACUAUUGGAAACGAUAGCUAAUACCGGAUAACAGCAUUAACUGCAUGGUUGAUGUUUAAAAGUUGGUUAUGCUAACACUAUGAGAUGGCUUUGCGGUGCAUUAGCUAGUUGGUGGGGUAAAGGCCUACCAAGGCGACGAUGCAUAGCCGACCUGAGAGGGUGAUCGGCCACACUGGGACUGAGACACGGCCCAGACUCCUACGGGAGGCAGCAGUAGGGAAUCUUCCGCAAUGGGCGAAAGCCUGACGGAGCAACGCCGCGUGAGUGAAGAAGGAUUUCGGUUCGUAAAGCUCUGUUGUUAGGGAAGAAUGGAUAUGUAGUAACUA
Molecule: ribosomal RNA, 437 nt
Filed under: Gemella morbillorum
Lineage: Bacteria; Bacillati; Bacillota; Bacilli; Caryophanales; Gemellaceae
Description: bacterial SSU rRNA
Rfam family: Bacterial small subunit ribosomal RNA
Source: RNAcentral